UCCUACGGGAGGCAGCAGUGGGGAAUAUUGCACAAUGGACGAAAGUCUGAUGCAGCAACGCCGCGUGGAGGAUGACACAUUUCGGUGCGUAAACUCCUUUUAUAUAGGAAGAUAAUGACGGUACUAUAUGAAUAAGCACCGGCUAACUCCGUGCCAGCAGCCGCGGUAAU
RNAcentral lists this ribosomal RNA (170 nucleotides) under uncultured bacterium. RNAcentral's name for it is "partial 16S ribosomal RNA". It matches the Rfam family "Bacterial small subunit ribosomal RNA", at positions 337 to 524 of the family's 1533-position model. The record is from RNAcentral.